Molecule: long non-coding RNA, 690 nt
Organism: Galeopterus variegatus (Sunda flying lemur)
Lineage: Eukaryota; Metazoa; Chordata; Mammalia; Dermoptera; Cynocephalidae
Exons: 2
Source: RefSeq, a predicted model, not a curated record
GCCCUCUAGGGGAGGAGAGGACUUCAGACACCGGCGGAGCGAAGACACAACCUGCUGCUGCGGGGGUGGUAGUCUGUGGUUGUUCAUGGAACAAUGACUUCUGAAGGAAGAAAAGGAUCUUCAUCUCCAGAAUGGGUCCUUCGGUUUUCAGCUCAGUAUGAGUAAUAAGGAGUCUCCAGUCAUAUCCACUAUUCCCGAUGUAUGAAGUGAACAAGAGUUUAAGGAUGGCCAGAGGACAGUGAGGGAUUCUUCCCACAUGGCCUUGAAGAUUAUCAAAUGGAAGAUCUCCUCAGUAACAGGUGAAAAUAAGCAUGUCACUAUGCUAGCAUUAGAUGAUUAGGUAGUAACAAGAUCAGGAUUCUUAAAGCUGUGCAAGUUAGCAGCUUUGAUGUGAGCUUCAACCCUAGCAUGCUCUCUUCUGCCUCUACUUCCCCAUUCACUCCUUAGUAGGCUUCUAGCUCUUAAUAAGCUAAGACAUUUCCAGCUCUAGUGAACUUUUGCCUUCUGAAAAGUCCACCUCAUGCAAACUCAAAUGCUGAACUGAGAAACACAAAAAUAAAACAAAGAAAUACAAAGAAACCCACAAACAAACAGAAAUGCUGAACUAAACACUGGUAAAGGUCCCAUAUUAAGUACAGGUAUAUACCUUCUGUGGGACUUUUAAUUGUAAAACAUGAUCAUUUUACAAUA